AGGUGUACAACAUAUCAUGUACA
Molecule: non-coding RNA, 23 nt
Filed under: Arabidopsis thaliana (thale cress)
Lineage: Eukaryota; Viridiplantae; Streptophyta; Magnoliopsida; Brassicales; Brassicaceae
Source: RNAcentral